GACGAACGCUGGCGGCGUGCUUAACACAUGCAAGUCGAACGGAAAGGCCCUGCUUUUGUGGGGUGCUCGAGUGGCGAACGGGUGAGUAACACGUGAGUAACCUGCCCUUGACUUUGGGAUAACUUCAGGAAACUGGGGCUAAUACCGGAUAGGAGCUCCUGCUGCAUGGUGGGGGUUGGAAAGUUUCGGCGGUUGGGGAUGGACUCGCGGCUUAUCAGCUUGUUGGUGGGGUAGGUGCUUACCAAGGCUUUGACGGGUAGCCGGCCUGAGAGGGUGACCGGCCACGUUGGGACUGAGAUACGGCCCAGACUCCUACGGGAGGCAGCAGUGGGGAAUAUUGCACAGUGGGCGGGAGCCUGAUGCAGCAGCGCCGCGUGCGGGAUGACGGCCUUCGGGUUGUGAACCGCUUUCGCCUGUGAUGAAGCGUGAGUGACGGUAACGGGUAAAGAAGCACCGGCUAACUACGUG
This 468-nucleotide ribosomal RNA is filed under the name uncultured bacterium. RNAcentral describes it as "partial 16S ribosomal RNA". It matches the Rfam family "Bacterial small subunit ribosomal RNA", at positions 28 to 507 of the family's 1533-position model. The record is from RNAcentral.